GGAAGAGAAGCUUUGGAGAAGCAUAGAAUUUUUGAUUCUAGGAUGGGAAAACCCUUUUUCA
This 61-nucleotide transfer RNA is filed under the name Pyura gangelion. Its description in RNAcentral is "transfer RNA-Lys". The record is from RNAcentral. Lineage: Eukaryota; Metazoa; Chordata; Ascidiacea; Stolidobranchia; Pyuridae.